UGGGGAAUUGUUCGCAAUGGGCGCAAGCCUGACGACGCAACGCCGCGUGAAGGAUGAAGUAUUUCGGUAUGUAAACUUCGAAAGAAUAGGAAGAAUAAAUGACGGUACUAUUUAUAAGGUCCGGCUAACUACGUGCCAGCAGCCGCGGUAAUACGUAGGGACCAAGCGUUGUUCGGAUUUACUGGGCGUAAAGGGCGCGUAGGCGGCAAUUCAAGUCAUCUGUGAAAUCUCCGGGCUUAACUCGGAACGGUCAGAUGAUACUGCUUUGCUAGAGUGCAGAAGGGGCAAUCGGAAUUCUUGGUGUAGCGGUGAAAUGCGUAGAUAUCAAGAGGAACACCUGAGGUGAAGACGGGUUGCUGGGCUGACACUGACGCUGAGGCGCGAAAGCCAGGGGAGCAAACGGGGAUUAGAUACCCCCGUAGUCCCUGAGCGGGCUGGCAAGGCGCAU
RNAcentral lists this ribosomal RNA (448 nucleotides) under uncultured bacterium. RNAcentral describes it as "bacterial SSU rRNA". It matches the Rfam family "Bacterial small subunit ribosomal RNA", at positions 355 to 825 of the family's 1533-position model. The record is from RNAcentral.